This 606-nucleotide ribosomal RNA is filed under the name Salmonella enterica subsp. enterica serovar Infantis. RNAcentral describes it as "partial 23S ribosomal RNA". It matches the Rfam family "Bacterial large subunit ribosomal RNA", at positions 711 to 1313 of the family's 2925-position model. Lineage: Bacteria; Pseudomonadati; Pseudomonadota; Gammaproteobacteria; Enterobacterales; Enterobacteriaceae. The record is from RNAcentral.
AGACCCGAAACCCGGUGAUCUAGCCAUGGGCAGGUUGAAGGUUGGGUAACACUAACUGGAGGACCGAACCGACUAAUGUUGAAAAAUUAGCGGAUGACCUGUGGCUGGGGGUGAAAGGCCAAUCAAACCGGGAGAUAGCUGGUUCUCCCCGAAAGCUAUUUAGGUAGCGCCUCGUGAAUUCAUCUCCGGGGGUAGAGCACUGUUUCGGCUAGGGGGCCAUCCCGGCUUACCAACCCGAUGCAAACUGCGAAUACCGGAGAAUGUUAUCACGGGAGACACACGGCGGGUGCUAACGUCCGUCGUGAAGAGGGAAACAACCCAGACCGCCAGCUAAGGUCCCAAAGUCAUGGUUAAGUGGGAAACGAUGUGGGAAGGCCCAGACAGCCAGGAUGUUGGCUUAGAAGCAGCCAUCAUUUAAAGAAAGCGUAAUAGCUCACUGGUCGAGUCGGCCUGCGCGGAAGAUGUAACGGGGCUAAACCAUGCACCGAAGCUGCGGCAGCGACACUCAGGUGUUGUUGGGUAGGGGAGCGUUCUGUAAGCCUGCGAAGGUGGCCUAUGAGGGUUGCUGGAGGUAUCAGAAGUGCGAAUGCUGACAUAAGUAACGAU